GACCCGAGUAGGUAGGGACAACUUUAUGCCCCUAUUCAGCAGGAAGAAAUUAUAGAAGAUGAGACCUUUCACCUUCAACAACCUUAAAGAUUUAAGGGUCAAAAUUGUUCAGGGGGAAAUGAAGGAGAAGGAGG
This is a long non-coding RNA of Lutra lutra (Eurasian river otter), 134 nucleotides long. RefSeq lists it as uncharacterized. The record is from RefSeq and is a predicted model, not a curated record. NCBI's taxonomy places the organism in Eukaryota, Metazoa, Chordata, Mammalia, Carnivora, Mustelidae. The transcript is spliced from 3 exons.